RNAcentral lists this ribosomal RNA (533 nucleotides) under uncultured organism. RNAcentral's name for it is "bacterial SSU rRNA". It matches the Rfam family "Bacterial small subunit ribosomal RNA", at positions 384 to 917 of the family's 1533-position model. The record is from RNAcentral.
UGAACCAGCCAAGUAGCGUGCAGGAUGACGGCCCUAUGGGUUGUAAACUGCUUUUAUAAGGGAAUAAAGUGAGUCUCGUGAGACUUUUUGCAUGUACCUUAUGAAUAAGGACCGGCUAAUUCCGUGCCAGCAGCCGCGGUAAUACGGAAGGUCCGGGCGUUAUCCGGAUUUAUUGGGUUUAAAGGGAGCGUAGGCCGGAGAUUAAGCGUGUUGUGAAAUGUAGACGCUCAACGUCUGCACUGCAGCGCGAACUGGUUUCCUUGAGUACGCACAAAGUGGGCGGAAUUCGUGGUGUAGCGGUGAAAUGCUUAGAUAUCACGAAGAACUCCGAUUGCGAAGGCAGCUCACUGGAGCGCAACUGACGCUGAAGCUCGAAAGUGCGGGUAUCGAACAGGAUUAGAUACCCUGGUAGUCCGCACGGUAAACGAUGGAUGCCCGCUGUUGGUCUGAAUAGGUCAGCGGCCAAGCGAAAGCAUUAAGCAUCCCACCUGGGGAGUACGCCGGCAACGGUGCAACUCAAAGGAAUUGAGGGA